CUUGUUCAAACCCAAUCCCGUACGUACGCAGUUGCAGCGACCUAAAAUUCCCCUCCACAAUGGCGGCGACGGCGCCGGGCCAGAUCCCUCAACCAAUCUAGGCGAGUACGCACCCCGGAGGUGAUGUUCCAUCUCUCCGAUGGCUCGUGCCCGCUGUGCCACCGAUGGCCCAGUUUGACCAGAUCGGAGCUCGUUGAGUGCUAAGAUCCGCGCUGCAGUGUGUUCGUCACGGCCUCCCAUCUCUGGCCCCGGCAACGGCUGGUUCGUCACCGCCUCUCCAGCAUCAGCUAGCGUCCUACUCGACCUCGUCAGCUGCAAGUCGUUGGUGAGCUCCUCGGCUUCUUCCGGACCAGCCCCUGUGACGUGGUGCGAACCUACAAGGUGUCACCAUGGUGGUUAACUUUUCUGGUAAAUACUCCACAAAUUAAUACCCCAUCUCAAUUUUUUGGUGGUUAAUCAUUCACCUGCGAUGGAGUAGAUGUUAACUUGUACUAUUAGCUAGUAAGUACAUUUGUGCUCCAUCUCAAUUUCAUUAGCUAGUAGAUGUAUGAUGCAUAUAGUUCUAUUGUCUUGUACUUGUUCAUGUCAAAUCUGCUUGUGCGUGAAUGAUGCACUUUUGCAACUUCGAUUUGAUGAUGUAUUGCUACUGUUCUUGGUGGUUUGGCAGUCUAAUUUGGACAUUCUGUUUAACUGUUAAGUACU
RNAcentral lists this ribosomal RNA (702 nucleotides) under Triticum aestivum (bread wheat). RNAcentral describes it as "partial small subunit ribosomal RNA". Lineage: Eukaryota; Viridiplantae; Streptophyta; Magnoliopsida; Poales; Poaceae. The record is from RNAcentral.